Molecule: unclassified non-coding RNA, 300 nt
Filed under: soil metagenome
Description: partial contains small subunit ribosomal RNA, internal transcribed spacer 1, and 5.8S ribosomal RNA
Source: RNAcentral
UUUCCGUAGGUGAACCUGCGGAAGGAUCAUUACAAAUCCAUCCACGUCUCCUCCUUUGAGGCAGACCACGUUGAAAUGUUCCCUAGCGCGCGUUCCGUCUCGUCCAUGAUCAUCAUCAUCAUCUGUGCGCUCAGCCUUUACCGGCCAGAGACAGGAGGUGUGUUGUAUUGUACUUGACGGCGGCGGCGGCGCUAGGCUUGUAAACUAGUAUCAUCUGUUGCUCAAUUGUAUCUUUCUUGAUUGUAAUGAUCAAGGUGCAAACGCAAAGUACAACUUAUAACAAUGGAUCUCUAGGCUCUU